This 250-nucleotide ribosomal RNA is filed under the name uncultured Planctomycetia bacterium. Its description in RNAcentral is "partial 16S ribosomal RNA". It matches the Rfam family "Bacterial small subunit ribosomal RNA", at positions 524 to 773 of the family's 1533-position model. Lineage: Bacteria; Pseudomonadati; Planctomycetota; Planctomycetia. The record is from RNAcentral.
GACGAACCGAGCGAACGUUGUUCGGAAUCACUGGGCUUAAAGGGCGCGUAGGCGGGUGCUCAAGUCCGGGGUGAAAUCCUCCAGCUCAACUGGAGAACUGCCUCGGAUACUGGGUGCCUCGAGGGUGGUAGGGGUAUGCGGAACUAUCGGUGGAGCGGUGAAAUGCGUUGAUAUCGAUAGGAACUCCGGUGGCGAAGGCGGCAUACUGGACCACAUCUGACGCUGAGGCGCGAAAGCCAGGGGAGCAAAC